AGAGAGAGAGAGAGAGACCCACCAACAGAGCUGGUCACAUACUUACCCUCCUCUUGACUGAUGGUUACACUUGCAUGAAAGCCAGAGAUAUAAAGAAGAGAAGAAAAAGAAGAGAUGGACAGAGGAAGGGUGAGAUGGUGAGGUGAUGGUGUUGUUGGACUGGUACUUGGUUGUUAUUUGAGAAGCCAAAAGCCUCCUUCACCAGCAGCAGCAGCAGCAGCAGCAGCCAUCGUCAGUGCUCUUACCGAUGGGGUCAGCUCCAAUUGUCCACCCUCCUCUCCCUCCAUAGCCCCCACCUCUUUCAGAACAACCAGAAAAAUAAUAUUUCUUUUUCAAAAACCAAUAUCAAUGGUCCUAAUCCCCAAUAUCCAAGCCAUAUCAAACAAGAAACAGAAUUCCCCUUCCCUUCCUCUCCAUCUCCUUCUGCGAGGCCUGCUCACAAAAACUUACAGCAAUAGAGUUCGCAUCCAAAACAUGGCAAGUAAGAGAGCGGAGUAGAAGAGAGAAAAAGAGAGAAGGUCGACUCUUUUUCCCCCCACUCUCUUUUCUGCGCUCCUCCUCUUUCCCUCCAUCUCCUACUUCAUGCCUAGAAACAAAAGGUUUUCUCCAAGGGUCUGAUCAACUUGAAACAUAUCGAGUGAGAGAAAGGAGGAAGCGAAGAACGGGAAGAAGGUUAAUUUUUCUCUCCCCC
Molecule: long non-coding RNA, 691 nt
Filed under: Phoenix dactylifera (date palm)
Lineage: Eukaryota; Viridiplantae; Streptophyta; Magnoliopsida; Arecales; Arecaceae
Description: long non-coding RNA (PDAC_LNC013540)
Source: RNAcentral